Molecule: RNA transcript, 6495 nt
Organism: Lytechinus pictus (painted urchin)
Lineage: Eukaryota; Metazoa; Echinodermata; Echinoidea; Temnopleuroida; Toxopneustidae
Exons: 5
Source: RefSeq, a predicted model, not a curated record
GGUACCCACGGCCACGUGCACAUGAACGACUUUUCCGAUGGCCGAUCUUCCAGCGAAGAUUAAGUGUAACGGUGGAUUGGAUUUCUAAGAAGUUUUCCUUUUAAAGCGACAUAUAAAGCAUGGGACCUCUUCGGAUAAAGUUGCGGUUAAGAGGGAGUACUAAUGAUGAGGCUUCUAGCUCGACUGCCACAGCUCGCUCAACAGAGAAAAAAGUGCAUUGGAGAACUCAUAUGAGAGAAUGCAAGCCAGAGAAAUAUGCAGAGUUGAGAAAACAUGAGCAGAUAUACAAACGUCAUCGAGAUGCCACCUUGGAAGGGGAGAAGCUGGAAAGGGAAAGGGAGCUAACACGAGAACGAGUGAGGCGGUUCAGGGAGAGGCAGAGAGCGGAACAUGCCACGAUAAGCAUGGGACCUCUUCCACCUCUUCGGAUAAAGUUGCAGUCAAGAGGGAGUACAAAUGAUGAGGCUUCUAGUUCGACUGCCACCGUUCGCUCAAAGGAGAAAAAAGUGCAUUGGAGAACUCACAUGAGAGAACGCAAGCACGAGAAAUAUGCAGAGUUGAGAAAACAUGAGCAGAUAUACAAACGUCAUCGAGAUGCCACCUUGGAAGGGGAGAAGCUGGAAAGGGAAAGGGAGCUAACAAGAGAACGAGUGAGGCGGUUCAGGGAGAGGCAGAGAGCGGAACGUGCCAUAGCAAAAAACAACAACAAACCAAAAUCAAAGAGUCAGAAAGCAAAAGAGAAAAGGCAGCAAGAAAAGUGGAGAAUGGAAAAGAGAAAACAAAGGGAGACAUGGUCCGCAGAGAAGAGGAAAGAGUACAAUAUGAAGCAAAGGACAAAUAGAAUCAAAGACAAAGAACUGCAAGAAUUUUCCAGAAAGAAGAUGCUUGAAGAACAGACAAAGAAAAUCAAGGAAGAAAAGAAAGAAAAAGAACAGAGAUAAGAGGAGGACAGACUUGAAAAAAGAAAGCAACAAGCUGCAGACGCUGAGAAAACACUGCAAGAGGAAGAAUGGCAGCAAAUGCAAAAAAAAAAAAAAAAAAUGACACACCUCAUCACUCUCAUGAAGCCAAGCGGAAAUAUCUCUCUCGGACUUGCAAAAAACUGUCACCAAAUGCCACCAUCUUCUCUGACACCAUAUGUGAUUUUGUCAUUCACUCCACCCCUAGAAGACGGAAAGCCCUUCAAGAUAAAGGCAUCAAGCUUAGCAAGACAGACACAGACAGCAUCAUCACAACAAAUGUGGCUCUGGAAUUGAAGAAGGAUCGUAAUAAACGCAAAAAAAAACCAAGACUUGCAAGACGUAGGUUGGCUUCAUCACUACAGAGUCUGAAAAUGCUAAAAAAGCAGCAUCUUGCAAAAAAUACAUUCAGUGCUACGCCGAAGCUGUUGGCAAACUUGAAGAAACAAGAGAAGUACAGCAAUCCAUUCAGCAUACCCAAUGAGGUGAAGGUCAUGGUUAGAUCAUUUUAUGAAGAUGAGGCAACCCAAUUACCCGACAAGAAAUAUGUCAGCAAAAAGUCCAUGCGAUCAACUGCUGUGUUACAGAGGCCUAUCUCAUCAUUGUUCAAAUAAUUCCAGCAGGCUAAUCCAGAAGUUAAAAUAAAGACGUCUAGUUCAUGCUACGCCCAAAGCACAUUAAGCCCAUGCGGUUGAACACAUUGAGGGGCUGCUUGUGUGAAUGGUGUCAAAACACACACUUCAAAGUGAUCACGAUCAAUGCCUUCUUAGAUAUCGCCCAUGCAGAGCUCCCAACAGAUCACCAUUUCUUUGGUGCAAGGCACGGAAAGGGGCCUUCCGAUGGAGAAAGUGCUGUAGUGAAACAGAAAGCCUCAAUGGCAGUUUGUACUUCAACUGCAAGAAUACCCAAUGCUUUGUUACUAUAUAAAUUUGCCAAAGAGGAACUAACUCGCAAUGAUGGCCCUUGCAUGCCGUUUAGGAGAGAAUUCUACAUUCCUUUGAGUGACAUCAACCAUGAAAGACCAGGCCCAGUCAAAGCUGUCAAAGACACACGGAAAAUUGCCUGUGUGAAGAAUGGUGGAGGUCCAUUAGAGUUGUUCCACAGGACAUUGUCAUGCUUUUGUAUUCCUUGCAUGACAACAAAUGGAGAUGAUUUGAACAAGGAUUAUGUGAGCAAGUGGACCUCAACUCAGCUUCUACUCCCAGACAACACACCAGUAAAACCUUCUGCUGUGGGUGAAAAGAACAAUCCUGGUGCCAUGCAGACCUCAUCAACCGCUGACACAUCGCAGUUGGCAUCAGUGAGUACUACCACCUCGGGAACCUCACCAGAUGAACUUGCUGAGGAAGCUGUAUCAGAAGAAAACCUGUGUUCUGGAUCUGCAGUGCAUGAGACUUUGUCACAGAGAGGGUUCCUGUGUAUCGUGCAACGAAGAACAGAUCAGAUGCAUUGUUCAUUGCCCAAGUAGCCUCUGUUGAAGGUGGAAAUGUGCGUCUUCAGUAGAUGAAGCGGCAAUCUGGUGACCUGUACUCCUGGCCCGAUGGCGCGGCACAAUUCUACCCCCAUCCACUUUGUGACACUGACAGAAUCCUUCCCCCAACCUGAAACAGUCGUCAUUGGGUCACCGGUCUUCUUGAAGUUCAUAAACUGAGUUGUAACCUGAAUGCAGAGAGAAAUAUUGCAUGUUAAUUCUCAGUCAGAAUUAGAGUAAUACUUCUUUUGCAUUUGCUCGUAAGAAGUUUACCAGAGUUUUUUCAACCAAAGGAAAUGUUUGCAGUUUUAUUCUUGAAUAUUUAUUAGAAUAGCCUAGUACAAUUACUUUCUUUCUUAUCUUGAAAAAAUUAGAUAUAUAUUAAGGUGGUAAGUUUUUUUUUGUAUUCAUUUGUGCCAAUAAGUACUAUACAAUUGUCUUUUGCAUGUUCACACUUAAUAUUUUAUCCAAUGUAUAGAAGUUCCAGUGACAUGAUUAUAUUUCAAUUAAUGUUCACUUCUACACUUCCAUUUCUAGAACAUGAUGUCCAUGUAUAAACUGAGGUAAAACAUAUAAGCCAGUUCGUAGUUCCACUCUGCGCAUGAUCAGAAGAUUCUGCUCAUGAUCAGAGGAAGGUCAUUUGUACUAAAGUGACAUGGUGGUUUAAAAUUUAAUGAGAUAAGCACCAACUUCGAUGUCUUGAUUAUUCAUAUAUUCUUUUGAAUUGUGUUUUUCAUUCACAUCCACAAAAAAACAAUGCAUCCACGAAUGACUGGUAUAUAUUUCACAGAUUGCCAAGUACAUUGCACAACAUCCUCUAAUAUGCAUUCAAAGUAGAAAUGCGACAAAUACCUUCAUAGAGUGUUCAUUGAUGUGCUAUUCUAGUCACCUGGGCCCGUAUUCCAUAAACGAGAUAAGCAUGCUUAAAUAAAAAAUCUAAGCAUUUUGUCUUAUUUUCUGUCAUAGACAAAAUUCUUUGCCAAGAUGCGUAUUCCAUAAAGAAUUUUGUCCUAGAAUUUGGCUAAGAGUUUUUGCGUGACUAAGACAGAUAUAGGAUGAAUGGCUAAGCAACUUUUCUUAUAACUGCAGAGUCUGUAUUCCAUAAAUUUAACAUGGCUAAGAAUUUUGCCCUAACUUUAAGACAGUUGUGAGCUGUCUUAAUUGAUUUAGUUUCAAGGCAAUUUCGACCCAAGCCUUUUCUUUAUCCUGAAACGUGAUACGUGAAUUAUGCGUGGGUCUCAAGAUCUCUUCCCUUUCUCUUAUUUCUGCUAUUAGCGUAAUUUUCUCUCCUUCAGUGAAAUUUGCCUUCCUUUUUUCUCAGCCUCCAUCUUGAUAUUUCUUAUGAUGCGAUUUUUGCUUUAACACACAAAAUGCAUAGACUUUUUACUGCGGAGCAGCUGUUAGGUUCGCGACAAAAGUUGCGCGACGUUGCAAUUUUCUCAUGAUGUCAUAGAAUUUGAGACUUUGGCUUAGCCAUAUCCUCUGACUUGAGACAAAUGUCUUAAAGUUUAUAGAAUAUCGUUAAGGAAGAUUUCUUAGACAAGCAAAAUGCUAAGACAAAUUGCUAAAACUUAAGCAAAAAGCUUAUCUCGUUUAUGGAAUACGGGCCCAGGUCUAUUCAAUUUCUUCAUCCCGCUAUGUAAGGCAUGCAUACGUAAUAUCUUGCUUUGAAAUCUUAAUGCAAGAAAUGAAAUUGUCCAUGAAGUAACUACGAACUGGUCUAAUAGAGUAAUCAAAUUGAACAAGUUAUUUAUGUAAGGUAUUAACCAUGUGCUGCCCAUGUCUUGCAUGCCACUUGUCUUGUUUUGCCUUGAAAUACCUUAGCUUAGAACUUAACUAGUAGCUUUUUCCUACAUCUUUUUCACUUGGGAAAUGUAUCAAAGGUAUCAAAAUUAUAAUUGUGUAUGGAAAAACACCUUUUACCUGUUCAUUGCUAUGCAUUUCAGAAGCUUUCAUGUAGAUAUUGUAUUUCUACACUUGAGUAAGUUGAGUAAACUUGCAUUAGGUGUGUUGGUAAUACUAUUCGAUAUGACCAUUACAAGGACAUGAUGUCUGUGUAACGGUGGUAUAAAAAUUGAAAAGUAAAAUUGAAAAGUUAAGUUGAACAGGUUAUUUUUGUCAAACACCAAUCAUCGAGUAGGCCUACUCUAUUGUUGUGUGUUCUUACUCUCCUUUGUUUUCCAUGUCGAAAACAGCGAUGUGAAAGAGAAUUAUAGUAAAUUGCUGUACACAUCUAAUAUACUGCUCAGACAAAGCCAUGAAAUCAAUCUAGAUGUCUACAGAUAUCAUAAGAAAAGAUAUAGUGGCGAAAAGUAACCUAUUCACUAUGCAUUAGUUCGUGUUUCAUUUGAUGUGUUUUGCUCUUAAUGUGUAAUAAAUUAUUUAAUAUAUAAACUGUCUUUUUCAACUUACCGAAAGAAAGUGGGUUCUGUGCUGUUUAUACCUUCAUUAUAAAGACAUGAUGUCCAUGAAACGGUGGUAAUACACAUUGAAGAAUCACGUUGAACAAGCAAAUUUUGCAUAACUUCAUCAUAGAGUGUUCUGCUGCCAUCUGUUACUACUCUAUUUUAUUUUCCAUGUUAAAAACUACUUCAACUCGUAAGAAUUAAAGUUUAAUAUGUAUACUGACAUUAGGAAAUUCUCUCAGAGUCUAUCAAGAUAGCAGGUUAUAGUUAAAGAGAGCAAAGAAAAUGUGUAAGUUAUGCAAAAAAUAGCCAUUAAUACAUUUAUUCAUGUUUUCACCCACCUUGACGCAUCUUUCCUUACAAUAUAUGUACAUACAAUAUUGUAUAUUCAUGUAUCAGAAUGUUUAUAUAUCAUUAUUAGACAGUUCUGCACUAUUAUACCACCAUUUCGGGGACAUGAUGUCCUGUAACAGAGGUAUGUACAUUUCAAAGUAAUAUCUUGAAGUAGAUAUUCACAUUUUAAAGUAAUCAAAGAUUUGGAGAUCAUAAGAUAGCAGUUUUUUUGUUGUCUUUAGACAGAAACAGAAAUGUUUCCAGAGACAGACUGAAGUGGAAUCUUUAGAAUUAGUCUUGUGCAAAUAUUCUAAGACAGAAAGUGUAAUUUGGUAUGUAAUGACCAUUGAUGGACCUUAACUGAUAGGCCGAAAUUCACAAAGGUGGUUUUGAAAAACCUAGGUUGAGUCCAUGGUUUAUGCAGAUUUCCUGUAUAAAUUACGCUUCUUUUACUGCGUAUAUUAAAAAAUGUCUAAUGCUGAUGCAUGCUUUUGUCACAGUGUGCAAAAUUGAUGUCUGUUGCCGUGGUUAUCCACGCUAUUUUAUUAAUUAGUCCACUGUUUUGAAUUGAUGAGUCCACUCUUCAAACAGUGGACUCAUGUAUAAAUUAGCGUAUCUAACCAUGGUAACAGGCGUCAAUUUGGCGCUCUGUGACAAAAGCAUGCAUCAGCAUUGGAAAUUUUUAUAUACGUGCUAAAUUAAGCGUAAUUUAUACAGGAAAUCUGCAUAAACCAUGGACUCAACCGUGGGUUUUCAAAACCACCUUUGUGAAUUCGGGCCAUAAUGCUCCAAAUUAUACCUCUGUUACAGAGACAUGAUGUCCAUGUAAUGGUGGUAACACCAAAAAUGCAAGGUUAGGCCAGUAAAAGUACUUGAAUAUUUCCAAAGAGAAAUAUUCCAUUCUGUAGAGGCACAAUUUCUCUCAACUACCUUGUUCUACAUGCCAUCAUAAAUUGAAUUUUCAUGACUGGUGAGAAAAGAGAACACAGAACAGCACUGGUAUACACACAGAGCAUCAAGUUCCAUUUAUUGAUGCGAAAUCUUUCAAAAUAUACAUACCAUCUUGGGAAGGGAAUAAUGUGACUAGCAAUGUUGUUAGCAAAAUGUUUAUUAAGAGUAAUAGAGAUCAACUCCCUUUUGACAGUGGGAGAAUUUAGUCUUAGCAAGGAUGAUAAAUGAUGUCUGUGUAACGGUGGUAUUUUGUCAAAUCUUGUUUCUCAGUUUACUCAAAUAUGCAGGGUGGUAUGAAGCGCCUGGAGUGGAUUUAGUUGAAGAAUUGUCCCAUGAAACUUAGAAUAAAUAAAACAUUUCAUUUAUAACACUUCUA